RNAcentral lists this unclassified non-coding RNA (252 nucleotides) under uncultured Propionibacteriaceae bacterium. RNAcentral's name for it is "contains 16S-23S intergenic spacer region". Lineage: Bacteria; Bacillati; Actinomycetota; Actinomycetes; Propionibacteriales; Propionibacteriaceae. The record is from RNAcentral.
UCCGAUUUGUCACCGACCUUGCGGGGGCUACAUCUCUGCAGCUUUCCGGCAUAUGUCAAACCCAGGUAAGGUUCUUCGCGUUGCAUCGAAUUAAUCCGCAUGCUCCGCCGCUUGUGCGGGCCCCCGUCAAUUCCUUUGAGUUUUAGCCUUGCGGCCGUACUCCCCAGGCGGGGCACUUAAUGCGUUAGCUUCGGCACGGAGAACGUGGAAUGUUCCCCACACCUAGUGCCCACCGUUUACGGCGUGGACUAC